GAUGAACGCUGGCGGCGUGCUUAACACAUGCAAGUCGAACGAAGUCCAUGGAGCUUGCUCCGGAAGAUUGAGUGGCGAACGGGUGCGUAACACGUGAGAAACCUGCCCCGGACUUUGGGAUAACAGUUGGAAACGACUGCUAAUACCGAAUGUCGUCUUUUUCCCGCAUGGGGAUUUGAUGAAAGGUCCGCCGGUCCGGGAGGGUCUCACGGCCUAUCAGCUUGUUGGAGGGGUAAUGGCUCACCAAGGCAUCGACGGGUAGCUGGUCUGAGAGGAUGAUCAGCCACACUGGGACUGAGACACGGCCCAGACUCCUACGGGAGGCAGCAGUGGGGAAUCUUGCACAAUGGGCGCAAGCCUGAUGCAGCAACGCCGCGUGCGGGAAGAAGGCCUUAGGGUUGUAAACCGCUUUCAGUAGGGAAGAAAAUGACGGUACCUACAGAAGAAGGUGCGGCCAACUACG
Molecule: ribosomal RNA, 463 nt
Filed under: uncultured Acidimicrobiales bacterium
Lineage: Bacteria; Bacillati; Actinomycetota; Acidimicrobiia; Acidimicrobiales
Description: bacterial SSU rRNA
Rfam family: Bacterial small subunit ribosomal RNA
Source: RNAcentral